This 76-nucleotide transfer RNA is filed under the name Burkholderiales bacterium. Its description in RNAcentral is "tRNA-Ala". It matches the Rfam family "tRNA". From Rfam's summary of the family: Transfer RNA (tRNA) molecules are approximately 80 nucleotides in length. Their secondary structure includes four short double-helical elements and three loops (D, anti-codon, and T loops). Lineage: Bacteria; Pseudomonadati; Pseudomonadota; Betaproteobacteria; Burkholderiales. The record is from RNAcentral. RNAcentral also lists the same sequence under 11 other names.
GGGGCCAUAGCUCAGCUGGGAGAGCGCCUGCUUUGCAAGCAGGAGGUCAUCGGUUCGAUCCCGAUUGGCUCCACCA